Helianthus annuus (common sunflower) is the source of this 2501-nucleotide long non-coding RNA. RefSeq lists it as uncharacterized. The record is from RefSeq and is a predicted model, not a curated record. The transcript is spliced from 3 exons. Lineage: Eukaryota; Viridiplantae; Streptophyta; Magnoliopsida; Asterales; Asteraceae.
GAUUCAGAGUCGGGAGUAUAAGAGAAAGAUAAUACAGUAAAGAGAGAGAGAGAGUUAUGGGCUGACCACCAAUCUUUACGGCGGAUUGACGGUGGCGCAACGGCGGUGACAUCACAAUCCGGCGUGUACGCUUCAACAACUCGCUAACCGCAGGACGAGGGUUCCGCCGCAAACACAACCAUAGCGGCGAGUAUGGUUGUUCUUCCGUGACAUUGGAAGCCAAUCCAGCCAAACGAAAUACGUAUUCUAACGAACGAGAUCUAACUCAAUAGAAACACUUUCACUUCACCUUAGACAUUCUUAAUGAAGACAUCGAGCAUCCUGUUGAGCGCUCAAAAACAAGACCACUGCUCAAGAAGUCGACGGCUUCUGGACAACUGGUCUGAAUAGCUUUCUUUCUAUUUCAUAUGUAAAGCUAUUAUUAUUUCGUUUGUAUUUUUUGUUCAUCUUUGUCAAUGAUAUCUAAAAGUGCCCUUGAACAUGUACAUCUAAUCCAAUGUGGGGUCCUGUAAACUUUGUGUGUCCGCAUACCGUGAGGCCGAGUUUGAGACCAUUAUCUAUGGCAUUUUCCAGUCUCAAUUCAUAUGUUUGGUGAUGUGAAUUAACGGUUGGAGGAUGUCCGACUUGAUCCUAAAUUCAAUACUAUUUUUGGCAGUUGGAAUUUGGUUUAUAGGUAUGUUAAAACAGACAAGGUAUUGAUUGAAUAAUGGGUGCCAAUGCCGCAUUUCCUUUUGUUUCAGGUAUUUUUAUUCCGAGUGUGGACAGAUACAAUGAAGACAACGAGCAUCAUGAGCGCUCAAACACAAGACCACUGCUUGAGCGAAUGUCGCCAAACAUACCAGCUUAAAUACAUGUGCUUCAGUUUUGUUAUGGGUGUGGAAGUGCAUAUAUAAACACUCACAUGUGUGCUUCCGUUUAACGUUUUUGUUAGUAGCAAGUUGUUUGCUAAUAAAUUCGGAAAAUCAUUUGGACAACCAUUCGGACAGGUGAAGCAGAUAAAACUCAAAGGACAAAGCGCACUCACUAUGAACAAACGAGUACAAGACAUCCUCCUACACCUUCAAAUUUUUGCAUUACAACCUUUUUGUUUUAGAUAUUCCUUUAUAGAAGGUAUAAAAAAUGCUUAAACGAUGGCCCAUGUUGUUGCAUAUAUAAAAAUUGUAGCUACUGUAACUAAACAUUAGCAAUCUAACAGAACUGAAAUACCCCGCCGCACCGCGGCGGGUCAUCCUCUCUCUAGUAUAAUAACAAUUGCUGAAAGUCCUUAGGAACAGUUCCCGUUCCCAAGUUUCACAUGACCGACAUCUGCCGGUCUUCAACAUACCGCUGAAAACACAAGCCCAUCGUCCUUUUACGUUUUCAGAUUUGCUCAAUCAGGCGGCGUUGGCGGUGCUACUAUUGCGGCAGAAACUAGGAUUUAUGUAGUUGAAGGCGGUGAUGGUGGUUGCCGGCAUCAAAGCAGGUUGACGGCCAUGGGUACAGAAGAGGACUGAGGCAAAUAAGGUAAGUUUUCACGGCUAUGGUUCUCUUAUCCACUAAUUUUAUCGCUUGGGUUUGUUUUGUUACACCUUGAUCAUUAAAUUUGAAAUAUUUGAUGACUCCCUUUUAAUUUAGCAUAUUGUUAGCACUUUCAAUACAUCAUAUGUUGGAGUUACAAACGUAUGGAGAGGAGAAAGAAAAAAAACAAACGUAGUUUUUGUAUCGUAAGUCAUGGAUUUUUGACCUUUACAAAUGAGGAUUAUUGUAUAAGAUUAUACUUCCACUUGCCAAGCCGUAACAUCUGUAAAAAGGAUCUUGAUUCAGACUCUUCUAAUUUAUGAGGUGCUGAAUGUGAAUUUUCACAUAUAACAUGAUCAGUGAGAUUAAUACUUAAACAUAUGAUCAUAUUUGUAAUACGAACUCUUGACAAACCUGCACAUGUAAUUUAACAUCACCUGCUUCUUUGGCAUUUUAAUGUUGUUAGUUGUUCAUGGAAAAGCAGUAGUUAUAUUUGAUAUUUUCCAUCUAUAUCUUCUAGAGUUGUAGGGUAACAUGAAUUAGUUAUUGUUCUGACGAUUUCUUUCCACCAGAAAUCGCUCCUCUGCGGUGACUUCUCCACCACCGACAUCAACUCUCAACUUGAAAUCAUUUGCCGUCGACAUCAACUCUCGACUUCAAAUCGCCUUUUUGCGUAGACUUGACCACCAUUAACAUCAAAAUUGGUAAUCGUUUCUUUUCGUUUGUGCUCUUCACAAUCUUUCCAGCCGGUUCAGUUUUUACCUUUGCAUUUUUUCUUCUUUAAAUAAUUUGUUGAUCCAGAGGUUUCUCUUAUUGGGUUGAAUUGUUGUUCACCAGGUUUAAUUUUUAGGUUUCGUAGAUUGUUUAGGGUUUAGAAUUUAAAAACAUUUUGUGAUUGCUUUUAAAGAAUAAUCAUUGGGUAUAUGUAAAUGGCUGAAGAUACAGGUUGACCUUUAACUUACAAAUUCAACAUAAUGGGUUGAAAUUGAAGGCCAAUUUUUUAA